GAUGAGCGCUGGCGGCGUGCCUAAUACAUGCAAGUCGAGCGAACGGACGAGAAGCUUGCUUCUCUGAUGUUAGCGGCGGACGGGUGAGUAACACGUGGAUAACCUACCUAUAAGACUGGGAUAACUUCGGGAAACCGGAGCUAAUACCGGAUAAUAUUUUGAACCGCAUGGUUCAAAAGUGAAAGACGGUCUUGCUGUCACUUAUAGAUGGAUCCGCGCUGCAUUAGCUAGUUGGUAAGGUAACGGCUUACCAAGGCAACGAUGCAUAGCCGACCUGAGAGGGUGAUCGGCCACACUGGAACUGAGACACGGUCCAGACUCCUACGGGAGGCAGCAGUAGGGAAUCUUCCGCAAUGGGCGAAAGCCUGACGGAGCAACGCCGCGUGAGUGAUGAAGGUCUUCGGAUCGUAAAACUCUGUUAUUAGGGAAGAACAUAUGUGUAAGUAACUGUGCACAUCUUGACGGUACCUAAUCAGAAAGCCACGGCUAACUACGU
RNAcentral lists this ribosomal RNA (496 nucleotides) under uncultured bacterium. RNAcentral's name for it is "partial 16S ribosomal RNA". It matches the Rfam family "Bacterial small subunit ribosomal RNA", at positions 28 to 506 of the family's 1533-position model. The record is from RNAcentral.